This 89-nucleotide microRNA precursor is filed under the name Canis lupus familiaris (dog). RNAcentral's name for it is "mir-8799 microRNA precursor family". It matches the Rfam family "mir-8799 microRNA precursor family". The record is from Rfam by way of RNAcentral. RNAcentral also lists the same sequence under 1 other name. Lineage: Eukaryota; Metazoa; Chordata; Mammalia; Carnivora; Canidae.
GAGAGGUCGGAUCCUGGGCUGUGUCCCCGGCGCCCUGUGCUCCCGGGCUUGUGCUGUUGGAUUUGCACUUCCGGCCGGCCAGGCAGCCC